GAUGAACGCUGGCGGCGUGCCUAAUACAUGCAAGUCGAGCGAACAGACGAGGAGCUUGCUACUCUGACGUUAGCGGCGGACGUGUGAGUAACAUGUGGAUAACCUACCUAUAAGACUGGGAUAACUUCGUGAAACCGGUGCUAAUACCGUAUAACAUGUUGAACCGCAUGGUUCAACAGUGAAAGACGGUCUUGCUGUCACUUAUAGAUGGAUCCGCGCCGCAUUAGCUAGUUGGUAAGGUAACGGCUUACGAAGGCAACGAUGCGUAGCCGACCCGAGAGGGUGAUGCGCCACACUGGAACUGAGACACGGUCCAGACUCCUACGGGAGGCAGCAGUAGGGAAUCUUCGGCACUGGGCGAAAGCCUGACGGAGCGACGCCGCGUGGGUGCAGAAGGUCUUCGGAUCGUAAAACUCUGUUAUUAGGGAAGAACAAUUGUGUCAGUAACUAUGCACGUCUUGACGGUACCUAAUCAGAAAGCCACGGCUAACUACGUG
RNAcentral lists this ribosomal RNA (497 nucleotides) under uncultured bacterium. RNAcentral describes it as "partial 16S ribosomal RNA". It matches the Rfam family "Bacterial small subunit ribosomal RNA", at positions 28 to 507 of the family's 1533-position model. The record is from RNAcentral.